CAAAUGAUUAUUUACCAUGUGGAGACCAGUGGGAGAGGAAACUUCUUUACUUCUGUCUGGUGACACGGUUUACACCGUCCACACACUAAGUAGAUGAUAUGGCGACAAAUUUCAGGAAGUAGACAGUGAGGCCAACUUUCUUUGUUGCCAAAACAAUGAGGUCCUGAGGAAGUGGUUAGAUGUGAAACAUGUCAACCUCCUGGAACAUUUAACAAAGACUAAUUUCUGUGUUCUAUUAUAUGGCUAAUG
Rana temporaria (common frog) is the source of this 249-nucleotide long non-coding RNA. RefSeq lists it as uncharacterized. The record is from RefSeq and is a predicted model, not a curated record. NCBI's taxonomy places the organism in Eukaryota, Metazoa, Chordata, Amphibia, Anura, Ranidae. The transcript is spliced from 3 exons.